This 468-nucleotide ribosomal RNA is filed under the name uncultured bacterium. RNAcentral's name for it is "partial 16S ribosomal RNA". It matches the Rfam family "Bacterial small subunit ribosomal RNA", at positions 28 to 507 of the family's 1533-position model. The record is from RNAcentral.
GACGAACGCUGGCGGCGUGCUUAACACAUGCAAGUCGAACGGAAAGGCCCUGCUUUUGUGGGGUGCUCGAGUGGCGAACGGGUGAGUAACACGUGAGUAACCUGCCCUUGACUUUGGGAUAACUUCAGGAAACUGGGGCUAAUACCGGAUAGGAGCUCCUGCUGCAUGGGGGGGGUUGGAAAGUUUCGGCGGGUGGGGAUGGACUCGCGGCUUAUCAGCUUGUUGGUGGGGUAGUGGCUUACCAAGGCUUGGACGGGUAGCCGGCCUGAGAGGGUGACCGGCCACAUUGGGACUGAGAUACGGCCCAGACCCCUACGGGAGGCAGCAGGGGGGAAUAUGGCACAAUGGGCGGAGGCCGGAUGCAGCAACGCCGCGUGCGGGAUGACGGCCUUCGGUUUUUAAACCGCUUUCGCCUGUGACGAAGCGUGAGUGACGGUAAUGGGUAAAGAAGCACCGGCUAACUACGUG